This 424-nucleotide ribosomal RNA is filed under the name Verrucomicrobiota bacterium. RNAcentral describes it as "Verrucomicrobia bacterium partial 16S ribosomal RNA". It matches the Rfam family "Bacterial small subunit ribosomal RNA", at positions 355 to 776 of the family's 1533-position model. Lineage: Bacteria; Pseudomonadati; Verrucomicrobiota. The record is from RNAcentral.
UGAGGAAUAUUGGUCAAUGGGCGAGAGCCUGAACCAGCCAAGUAGCGUGCAGGAUGACGGCCCUAUGGGUUGUAAACUGCUUUUAUAUGGGAAUAAAGUGAGGGACGUGUCCCUUAUUGCAUGUACCAUACGAAUAAGGACCGGCUAAUUCCGUGCCAGCAGCCGCGGUAAUACGGAAGGUCCAGGCGUUAUCCGGAUUUAUUGGGUUUAAAGGGAGCGUAGGCUGUUUGUUAAGCGUGUUGUGAAAUGUAAGAGCUCAACUUUUAGAUUGCAGCGCGAACUGGCAGACUUGAGUGCGCACAACGUAGGCGGAAUUCAUGGUGUAGCGGUGAAAUGCUUAGAUAUCAUGAAGAACUCCGAUUGCGAAGGCAGCUUACGGGAGCGCAACUGACGCUGAAGCUCGAAGGUGCGGGUAUCGAACAGG